Molecule: ribosomal RNA, 460 nt
Filed under: uncultured bacterium
Lineage: Bacteria
Description: partial 16S ribosomal RNA
Rfam family: Bacterial small subunit ribosomal RNA
Source: RNAcentral
CCUACGGGAGGCAGCAGUGAGGAAUAUUGGUCAAUGGCCGGAAGGCUGAACCAGCCAUGCCGCGUGAAGGUCAGUGCCCUAUGGGCGUUAAACUUCUUUUGUGCGGGAGCAAUAAUGGUCACGUGUGGCCAGACGAGAGUACCGUACGAAUAAGCAUCGGCUAAAUCCGUGCCAGCAGCCGCGGUAAUAAGGGGGAUGCAAGCGUUAUCCGGAUUUAUUGGGUUUAAAGGGGGCGUAGGCUGUGAGGUAAGGCAGCGGGGAAAUGCCCCCGCUCAAGGGGGGGAAGUGCCAUUGAUACUGCCUUGCUGGAAUGCGGAUGCCGUGGGAGGAAUGUGUGGUGUAGCGGUGAAAUGCAUAGAUAUCACACAGAACACCGAUUGCGAAGGCAUCUCACGAAUCCGCGAUUGACGCUGAUGCACGAAAGCGUGGGUAUCAAACAGGAUUAGAUACCCGAGUAGUC